This 480-nucleotide ribosomal RNA is filed under the name uncultured bacterium. RNAcentral's name for it is "bacterial SSU rRNA". It matches the Rfam family "Bacterial small subunit ribosomal RNA", at positions 28 to 476 of the family's 1533-position model. The record is from RNAcentral.
GACGAACGCUGGCGGCGUGCCUAAUACAUGCAAGUCGAGCGAGCGGAACUAACAGAUUUACUUCGGUAAUGACGUUAGGAAAGCGAGCGGCGGAUGGGUGAGUAACACGUGGGGAACCUGCCCCAUAGUCUGGGAUACCACUUGGAAACAGGUGCUAAUACCGGAUAAGAAAGCAGAUCGCAUGAUCAGCUUUUAAAAGGCGGCGUAAGCUGUCGCUAUGGGAUGGCCCCGCGGUGCAUUAGCUAGUUGGUAAGGUAAAGGCUUACCAAGGCGAUGAUGCAUAGCCGAGUUGAGAGACUGAUCGGCCACAUUGGGACUGAGACACGGCCCAAACUCCUACGGGAGGCAGCAGUAGGGAAUCUUCCACAAUGGACGCAAGUCUGAUGGAGCAACGCCGCGUGAGUGAAGAAGGUUUUCGGAUCGUAAAGCUCUGUUGUUGGUGAAGAAGGAUAGAGGUAGUAACUGGCCUUUAUUGACGGU